GAUUAUUGGGCCUAAAGCAUCCGUAGCUCGUUUUGUAAGUUUUCGGUUAAAUCCAUACGCUUAACGUAUGGGCUGCCGGGAAUACUGCAUAACUAGGAAGUGGGAGAGGUAGACGGUACUCGGUAGGAAGGGGUAAAAUCCUUUGAUCUAUUGAUGACCACCUGUGGCGAAGGCGGUCUACCAGAACACGUUCGACGGUGAGGGAUGAAAGCUGGGGGAGCAAACCGGAUUAGAUACCCGGGUAGUCCCAGCUGUAAACUAUGCAAACUCAGUGAUGCAUUGGCUUGUGGCCAAUGCAGUGCUGCAGGGAAGCCGUUAAGUUUGCCGCCUGGGAAGUACGUACGCAAGUAUGAAACUUAAAGGAAUUGGCG
This 371-nucleotide ribosomal RNA is filed under the name uncultured archaeon. RNAcentral's name for it is "bacterial SSU rRNA". It matches the Rfam family "Archaeal small subunit ribosomal RNA", at positions 497 to 870 of the family's 1478-position model. The record is from RNAcentral.